CCUCGAUCUUCGCUGAGAAGAUUUUCGCAGCGAAAACUAAAGGCUCCGUUUUCGCGCCUAUAGUUUUCACGUGAAAACGAAGCCUAGUAGCUUCGCAGCGCUGCNAAGCGAAAAGGGAAAAGUGCCUUCGUGCACAUCCCUACUUCAAACAAGUCAACUUGCCAUUAAUUCUGACAUUCUUUGUCUUUCCAAGAUGAAUACAUGCAAAUAAAGGAUAGGUUCCCUCUUUCAGAAUUUAGAAUAUUUCCUCUUCUCAAGUACUCCUGCUUGAGAAGUGAUCAAUCUUAAUGGGGUUGUUCUUUGCACAGAAGCUGCAGAAACGGUGUCUACCAACACAGGCUGAACAGAAAAAGGGAGAAGAAGGGAUGANGAGGAGCGGUAAACAAAGAAGAACCCACGAGGUACAAAUCAGAUCAGCUCUGCUUAAAUUCUGUAUGCAGACAGACUUGAUGCUGGGUUGAGAUAUCCCAUUCCAUGCAAUGAUUCUGGACUCUUUCCAUCAUUUUUAGAAUUUUUGGACAACCUUUUGCCCCGUUGGGGAGAAAAGUUUUUAUAAUGAUCUCUUCUUUUACACUUGUUUUCUAUUUUACAAAGUUACAAUGCGUGAAUUGUGACAGCCUUUCAUAUGCAGCAGAAGAGUAGGACAUAAAUUCUUAAAUCAAUAUGGGGGAUGUUGCAGAAACUGUUUUAAAGCAUUCUGAAUAACUGUCUCAGAUUUGUUGCAGGAAACAAGAGAGCUUCUAUAUUAAAGUAGUAUGAAUGAAAUGGGUCUACAGCCAAGGACAAAUACAACCCCCAGGCAGUCCAACAUAGGUUAUGGAAAUCUUGCUGAUUUAUCUUAAACGUUUCUCUUGGGAAAUAAUUUAAAGUUGGCCAGAAUUUCUUUCCUCCUUUAACUUCUUCAGCACAGCUUUUUGAUAUAGGCUUUUAAUGGAAGGGGAAUAGAGCCAACUUAAUACCAAAGAUUCCUCUGCAACUUAUUAUCAGGUCAGCUACAUUUUUCUGCAUUAUCAAGUUAAACUGAAGACCAUGGUGUAUUUGUGUGAUAUUUUCUGAAAAUACAAAAAUUUAAAAUGUUUAAAGUAAGGAUGAAUUUAAAAUUCUAAAUAAAGUUGUUUACUGUUUAAUGCUUAAAAAAAGC
Molecule: long non-coding RNA, 1141 nt
Filed under: Salvator merianae (Argentine black and white tegu)
Lineage: Eukaryota; Metazoa; Chordata; Lepidosauria; Squamata; Teiidae
Description: lncRNA (ENSSMRG00000002910.1)
Source: RNAcentral